This 1355-nucleotide ribosomal RNA is filed under the name Actinomycetes bacterium. RNAcentral describes it as "bacterial SSU rRNA". It matches the Rfam family "Bacterial small subunit ribosomal RNA", at positions 67 to 1432 of the family's 1533-position model. The record is from RNAcentral. Lineage: Bacteria; Bacillati; Actinomycetota; Actinomycetes.
CGGUGAAGCCCAGCUUGCUGGGUGGAUCAGUGGCGAACGGGUGAGUAACACGUGAGCAAUCUGCCCCUGACUCUGGGAUAAGCGCUGGAAACGGCGUCUAAUACCGGAUACGAGACGUGACCGCAUGGUCGAUGUUUGGAAAGAUUUUUCGGUCAGGGAUGAGCUCGCGGCCUAUCAGCUUGUUGGUGAGGUAAUGGCUCACCAAGGCGUCGACGGGUAGCCGGCCUGAGAGGGUGACCGGCCACACUGGGACUGAGACACGGCCCAGACUCCUACGGGAGGCAGCAGUGGGGAAUAUUGCACAAUGGGCGGAAGCCUGAUGCAGCAACGCCGCGUGAGGGAUGACGGCCUUCGGGUUGUAAACCUCUUUUAGCAGGGAAGAAGCGAAAGUGACGGUACCUGCAGAAAAAGCGCCGGCUAACUACGUGCCAGCAGCCGCGGUAAUACGUAGGGCGCAAGCGUUAUCCGGAAUUAUUGGGCGUAAAGAGCUCGUAGGCGGUUUGUCGCGUCUGCUGUGAAAUCCCGAGGCUCAACCUCGGGCCUGCAGUGGGUACGGGCAGACUAGAGUGCGGUAGGGGAGAUUGGAAUUCCUGGUGUAGCGGUGGAAUGCGCAGAUAUCAGGAGGAACACCGAUGGCGAAGGCAGAUCUCUGGGCCGUAACUGACGCUGAGGAGCGAAAGGGUGGGGAGCAAACAGGCUUAGAUACCCUGGUAGUCCACCCCGUAAACGUUGGGAACUAGUUGUGGGGUCCAUUCCACGGAUUCCGUGACGCAGCUAACGCAUUAAGUUCCCCGCCUGGGGAGUACGGCCGCAAGGCUAAAACUCAAAGGAAUUGACGGGGACCCGCACAAGCGGCGGAGCAUGCGGAUUAAUUCGAUGCAACGCGAAGAACCUUACCAAGGCUUGACAUAUUCGAGAACGGGCCAGAAAUGGUCAACUCUUUGGACACUCGUUUACAGGUGGUGCAUGGUUGUCGUCAGCUCGUGUCGUGAGAUGUUGGGUUAAGUCCCGCAACGAGCGCAACCCUCGUUCUAUGUUGCCAGCACGUUAUGGUGGGAACUCAUGGGAUACUGCCGGGGUCAACUCGGAGGAAGGUGGGGAUGACGUCAAAUCAUCAUGCCCCUUAUGUCUUGGGCUUCACGCAUGCUACAAUGGCCGGUACAAAGGGCUGCAAUACCGUGAGGUGGAGCGAAUCCCAAAAAGCCGGUCCCAGUUCGGAUUGAGGUCUGCAACUCGACCUCAUGAAGUCGGAGUCGCUAGUAAUCGCAGAUCAGCAACGCUGCGGUGAAUACGUUCCCGGGUCUUGUACACACCGCCCGUCAAGUCAUGAAAGUCGGUAACACCUGAAGCCGGUG